AUGGACAAUCUACUCUCUCCGUCCUCCUGCUUCCUUCCACCUUCGCCGUCCUCCCAAUACUCCACGGUGGGCACACAGGUGAUCGAGUUUGUGCCCCUGCUUCACGAGCAAUGGCUGUUCGACGACGGCACGAUGUCCCAGAACGAGGACAGGGAGCUGUGGGCGCCUAUGGGGAGCACGCUUCCCCGGAGCCCUGAGCUCUCGGAGCUGCCGUCGGGCGUCCCGGCAACGCCGCUGUCCAAUGGUAAGCGGCGUGGCCGGAAACCCGGGCCCCGCUCCGACUCUCGCCAAACCGUCGGCCACGUGCAGGCUGAGCGCCAGCGCCGCGACAAACUGAACCGUCGAUUUUGCGACCUCCGCGCUGUCGUCCCCAACGUGUCCCGUAUGGACAAGGCAUCACUCCUUGCUGACGCCGCCACCUACAUCGGGGAGCUACGCACCCGCGUAGCGCACUUGGAGGACGAGGCCAACAAGACAUUGGAGAAGGGAGCUGCGGCCGCCGCUUCUCGCGGUGGUCCAGCUUCCAAGUUCCUGCAGGUAGAUGAAACUGUGGACGUGCGGAUGGUGGGACGAGACGGGGCCGCGGUGCGUGUGACCACCACUGCCAACCACGCUCCCGCGCAGCUGAUGGGCGCCCUCCGGUCACUGGAGCUGCAGGUGCAGCAUGCCUGCGUUAGCCACGUGCAGGGCGUGACCCUGCAAGACGUCCUCGUGGACAUGCCAGCCUCGAUGCAGGACGCCGACGACCUCCGCUCGGCGCUGCUCCAGGCGCUGCAGGAGCAGCAGGACAGCGCCUAA
Molecule: ribosomal RNA, 798 nt
Filed under: Triticum aestivum (bread wheat)
Lineage: Eukaryota; Viridiplantae; Streptophyta; Magnoliopsida; Poales; Poaceae
Description: partial small subunit ribosomal RNA
Source: RNAcentral